UACGUAGGGUGCAAGCGUUAUCCGGAAUUAUUGGGCGUAAAAGAGCUCGUAGGCGGUUUUGUCGCGUCUGCUGUGAAAACUGGAGGCUCAACCUCCAGCCUGCAGUGGGUACGGGCAGACUAGAGUGCGGUAGGGGAGAUUGGAAUUCCCGGUGUAGCGGUGGAAUGCGCAGAUAUCAGGAGGAACACCGAUGGCGAAGGCAGAUCUCUGGGCCGUAACUGGACGCUGAGGAGCGAAAGCAUGGGGAGCGAACAGG
RNAcentral lists this ribosomal RNA (256 nucleotides) under uncultured bacterium. RNAcentral describes it as "partial 16S ribosomal RNA". It matches the Rfam family "Bacterial small subunit ribosomal RNA", at positions 524 to 776 of the family's 1533-position model. The record is from RNAcentral.